This 314-nucleotide long non-coding RNA is filed under the name Prunus persica (peach). RNAcentral describes it as "long non-coding RNA (PPER_LNC006574)". Lineage: Eukaryota; Viridiplantae; Streptophyta; Magnoliopsida; Rosales; Rosaceae. The record is from RNAcentral.
ACAGCAUUUAACGAGGUUCGGCUAUGCCUACGUCCUCGGAGAGCAGCAGCAGUAACUUUUCACUAUAUAAAAUAAUAUGGCUACAACUUUAGUGUUUACAACAUGUGUGGCUCACUGAAUUUUCUCUCUAGGAGAAUUUCUCUCUGCUCUCUCUUUCCUCUUUCUUCCUUCUCUUCCUCUUGUCUCUUUCCUUUUCUCUCUUUCCUCUUCUCUCUUUCCUCUCUUCUCUUUCCUCUCUUUGUUUCUUUCCAUUUCCCUUUCUCUUCUUUUCUCUUUUCCCUUCUUUCUUUCCUCUUUUCUCUUCUCUUCUAUCU